This is a long non-coding RNA of Haplochromis burtoni (Burton's mouthbrooder), 731 nucleotides long. RefSeq lists it as uncharacterized. NCBI's taxonomy places the organism in Eukaryota, Metazoa, Chordata, Actinopteri, Cichliformes, Cichlidae. The record is from RefSeq and is a predicted model, not a curated record. The transcript has 3 exons.
CCAGCCUGAGCUGCAUGGACUCCACACUGGGAUGAGGAGAGGCCUGCUGUUGCUGUGUGACACUGAUUUUGCUGCUGCACUUUGUCUUUUAGAAAUAAAUCCAGUUUCCAGCCAGUCUGUGUCUGUCGUCACAACGCAGUCAACCAUUUGAAAUCUGCUACAUAAAAGUGGUGCCGUGACCCGGAUUGAUCUGAUCAGCCGCUGCCGAUCGCUGAGGUUGAGCUGGACACUUCUGACACCUGCGAUAUCAGCCAAAUUAUCUUGUGGAUCCUUUUCAAAAAAAUCCUCAGUGUUUUGUUAGUAGGCAUUUCUCCAAGAUACACGUGUUAGAGUUUAACUGGGCUACAUUUACAUGUAUUGUAUUUUUCUGGGUGAUAAGCACUUUCGUAUUUUUUUUGUUUCCAAUUCUUUUUGUAGUUCUUGUUAAUUUACUGUACGUAACAUGACUGGUAGGGGCCAAGGCUCCUUUAACCUUUUCACACCAGUUGCUGGGAGAGGUUGGAGACUGUCUGGGGUAGAUGAAGUUAGGGACAGAUCCAAAAUGUCUCAUGAUGAGCCAUCAGAAUCAGAUGACAUUAUCCAAAAUAAUAAUCUAGGACGAGAGUCACAAGAGUGAAUGCACAUUGAGCAACAUAUGCUAAACUGUGGCAUGUAAAAAUGCAGCAAGUGCAACAUUGGGAUUCUUUCUGUGUUUAUGUAUAUUUUACCCUAAAAUUUGCUCAGCAUUUUGA